GACGAACGCUGGCGGCAUGCUUAACACAUGCAAGUCGAACGAGCUGAUUCCUUCGGGAUGAAAGCGAGUGGCGAACGGGUGAGUAAUGUAUGAGUAACCUGCCUCUGUCUACGGGAUAACAUUUGGAAACAAGUGCUAAUACGGUAUAAGACCACAGCACCGCAUGGUGCAGGGGUAAAAGAUUUAUCGGACAGAGAUGGACUCAUAUCCCAUUAGCUAGUUGGUGAGAUAAUAGCCCACCAAGGCGACGAUGGGUAGCCGAGCUGAGAGGCUGAUCGGCCACAUUGGAACUGAAACACGGUCCAGACUCCUACGGGAGGCAGCAGUGGGGAAUAUUGGGCAAUGGAGGAAACUCUGACCCAGCAAUGCCGCGUGAGCGAUGAAGGUCAUCGAUUGUAAAGCUCUUUUCCUGGGAACGAAACAAAUGACGGUACCCAGGGAAUAAGCCCCGGCUAACUACGUGCCAGCAGCCGCGGUAAUACGUAGGGGGCGAGCGUUGUCCGGAAUGACUGGGCGUAAAGGGUGCGUAGGUGGUUUAAUAAGUUAGAAGUGUAAUACCCAGGGCUUAACUCGGGUGCUGCUUCUAAAACUGUUAUGUUUGAGUGUAGUAGAGGAAAUCUGAUUUCAUGUUUUUCGGUGGAAUGCGUAGAUGUUUUGAAUAACAUCAUUGUCGAAUGCGGCUUUCUGGAGAUAACUUACACUUGAGGUUCGAAAGUGUGGGGGAUCUAAAAGGAAUACAUAUCCUAUUGUCCUUAGGGCGAAUUUGUCAUUGGUUUUUUGUUUUGUGAUGCCUGUCGACUUCUGAGGGGUAAAAAAAAAACAUCUUUAUGUUUUGUAUACUUGCUCUAUUAAUAUGUGUCUGUGUGACUGUGCCUCCUAUUUUCUCCCCCUCUGUUACAUUUGUGUGUAUUCCUUGCCUCUUCUGUGUCUGUAUUUGUCUCCCUGUGCUGGUGUGACUGGCGAGUGAUGUUUUUUUUUUUUCUAGUGUCUCCUGACUCCGC
This 1001-nucleotide ribosomal RNA is filed under the name uncultured Butyrivibrio sp. RNAcentral's name for it is "bacterial SSU rRNA". The stretch from base 1 to 828 matches the Rfam family "Bacterial small subunit ribosomal RNA". The record is from RNAcentral. Lineage: Bacteria; Bacillati; Bacillota; Clostridia; Lachnospirales; Lachnospiraceae.